GAUGAACGCUGGCGGCGUGCCUAAUACAUGCAAGUCGAGCGAACGGACGAGAAGCUUGCUUCUCUGAUGUUAGCGGCGGACGGGUGAGUAACACGUGGAUAACCUACCUAUAAGACUGGGAUAACUUCGGGAAACCGGAGCUAAUACCGGAUAAUAUUUUGAACCGCAUGGUCCAAAAGUGAAAGACGGUCUUGCUGUCACUUAUAGAUGGAUCCGCGCUGCAUUAGCUAGUUGGUAAGGUAACGGCUUACCAAGGCAACGAUGCAUAGCCGACCUGAGAGGGUGAUCGGCCACACUGGAACUGAGACACGGUCCAGACUCCAACGGGAGGCAGCAGUAGGGAAUCUUCCGCAAUGGGCGAAAGCCUGACGGAGCAACGCCGCGUGAGUGAUGAAGGUCUUCGGAUAGUAAAACUCUGUUAUUAGGGAAGAACAUAUGUGUAAGUAACUGUGCACAUCUUGACGGUACCUAAUCAGAAAGCCACGGCUAACUACGUG
Molecule: ribosomal RNA, 497 nt
Filed under: uncultured bacterium
Lineage: Bacteria
Description: partial 16S ribosomal RNA
Rfam family: Bacterial small subunit ribosomal RNA
Source: RNAcentral